GACGAACGCUGGCGGCGUGCCUAACACAUGCAAGUCGAGCGAAGUUUUUUAAAGUGGAUCCCUUCGGGGUGAAACUUUAAUUAUCUUAGCGGCGGACGGGUGAGUAACGCGUGAGAAACCUGCCUUUCACAAAGGAAUAGCCUCGGGAAACUGGGAAUAAUACCUUAUGAUACAUCUACUUCACAUGAAGAAGAUGUUAAAGCGUAAAGCGGUGAAAGAUGGUCUUGCGUCCCAUUAGCUAGUUGGUGAGGUAAUAGCUCACCAAGGCGACGAUGGGUAGCCGGCCUGAGAGGGUGAACGGCCACAAGGGGACUGAGACACGGCCCUU
RNAcentral lists this ribosomal RNA (328 nucleotides) under uncultured bacterium. Its description in RNAcentral is "bacterial SSU rRNA". It matches the Rfam family "Bacterial small subunit ribosomal RNA", at positions 28 to 334 of the family's 1533-position model. The record is from RNAcentral.